CUUGACCGAGCCGAGCCACAGCGGGCUGCCCUCGGGGCGCCCCUGGCCGUACGUGGCAAUGAUCGCCUGGGCCUC
Molecule: antisense RNA, 75 nt
Filed under: Streptomyces sp. CB02058
Lineage: Bacteria; Bacillati; Actinomycetota; Actinomycetes; Kitasatosporales; Streptomycetaceae
Description: ASpks sRNA
Rfam family: ASpks TB sRNA
Source: RNAcentral